This 460-nucleotide ribosomal RNA is filed under the name uncultured bacterium. Its description in RNAcentral is "partial 16S ribosomal RNA". It matches the Rfam family "Bacterial small subunit ribosomal RNA", at positions 338 to 795 of the family's 1533-position model. The record is from RNAcentral.
CCUACGGGUGGCAGCAGUGAGGAAUAUUGGUCAAUGGACGGAAGUCUGAACCAGCCAAGUCGCGUGCAGGAAGACGGCACUAUGAGUUGUAAACUGCUUUUGUACGGGGGUAAACGCAGAUACGCGUAUCUGUCUGAAAGUACCGUACGAAUAAGGAUCGGCUAACUCCGUGCCAGCAGCCGCGGUAAUACGGAGGAUGCAAGCGUUAUCCGGAUUUAUUGGGUUUAAAGGGUGCGUAGGCGGGCGGAUAAGUUAGAGGUGAAAUCUCGGGGCUCAACUUCGGAAUUGCCUCUGAUACUGUUCGGCUAGAGUGUAGUUGAGGUAGGCGGAAUGUGUGGUGUAGCGGUGAAAUGCUUAGAGAUCACGCAGAACACCGAUUGCGAAGGCAGCUUACCAAGCUACUUCUGACGUUGAGGCACGAAAGCGUGGGGAUCGAACAGGAUUAGAUACCCGAGUAGUC